This 526-nucleotide ribosomal RNA is filed under the name uncultured delta proteobacterium. RNAcentral's name for it is "partial 16S ribosomal RNA". It matches the Rfam family "Bacterial small subunit ribosomal RNA", at positions 361 to 875 of the family's 1533-position model. Lineage: Bacteria; Deltaproteobacteria. The record is from RNAcentral.
AUUUUGCGCAAUGGGGGUAACCCUGNCGCAGCAACGCCGCGUGAGUGAAGAAGGCCUUCGGGUCGUAAAGCUCUGUCAAGUGGGAAGAACCCGCAUCAGGUCAACAGGCUGAUGCGCUGACGGUACCACUGAAGGAAGCACCGGCUAACUCCGUGCCAGCAGCCGCGGUAAUACUGGAGGGUGCAAGCGUUAUUCGGAAUUACUGGGCNGUAAAGGGCGCGCAGGCGGCUGGAUAAGUCAGUAGUGAAAGCCCAGGGCUCAACCCUGGAAGUGCUGCUGAAACUGUUUAGCUUGAGUAUGGUAGAGGGAAGUGGAAUUCCUGGUGUAGCGGUGAAAUGCGUAGAUAUCACGAGGAACACCGCUGNCGAANGCGGNUUCCUGGACCAAUACUGACGCUGAGGCNCGAAGGCGUGGGUAGCAAACAGGAUUANAUACCCUGGUAGUCCACGCAGUAAACGGUGAUCACUAGGUGNUGCGGNUAUUGAUACCUGCAGNGCCGNANCUAACGCAUUAAGNGAUCCNNCUG